This 253-nucleotide ribosomal RNA is filed under the name uncultured bacterium. RNAcentral's name for it is "partial 16S ribosomal RNA". It matches the Rfam family "Bacterial small subunit ribosomal RNA", at positions 524 to 776 of the family's 1533-position model. The record is from RNAcentral.
UACGUAGGGUGCAAGCGUUGUCCGGAAUUAUUGGGCGUAAAGAGCUUGUAGGUGGUUUGUCGCGUCUGCUGUGAAAAUCCGAGGCUCAACCUCGGGUCUGCAGUCGAUACGGGCAAACUAGAGUAUUGCAGGGGAGACUGGAAUUCCUGGUGUAGCGGUGAAAUGCGCAGAUAUCAGGAGGAACACCGGUGGCGAAGGCGGGUCUCUGGGCCGAAACUGACGCUGAGGAGCGAAAGCGUGGGGAGCGAACAGG